CCUACGGGGGGCAGCAGUGGGGAAUAUUGGACAAUGGGGGCAACCCUGAUCCAGCCAUGCCGCGUGUGUGAAGAAGGCCCUCGGGUUGUAAAGCACUUUCAGUGAGGAAGAACGCCUGGUGGUUAAUACCCAUCAGGAAAGACAUCACUCACAGAAGAAGCACCGGCUAACUCCGUGCCAGCAGCCGCGGUAAUACGGAGGGUGCGAGCGUUAAUCGGAAUUACUGGGCGUAAAGCGCGUGUAGGUGGCUUGAUAAGCCGGUUGUGAAAGCCCCGGGCUCAACCUGGGAACGGCAUCCGGAACUGUCAAGCUAGAGUGCAGGAGAGGAAGGUAGAAUUCCCGGUGUAGCGGUGAAAUGCGUAGAGAUCGGGAGGAAUACCAGUGGCGAAGGCGGCCUUCUGGACUGACACUGACACUGAGGUGCGAAAGCGUGGGUAGCAAACAGGAUUAGAUACCCCUGUAGUC
RNAcentral lists this ribosomal RNA (465 nucleotides) under Vreelandella stevensii. Its description in RNAcentral is "partial 16S ribosomal RNA". It matches the Rfam family "Bacterial small subunit ribosomal RNA", at positions 338 to 795 of the family's 1533-position model. The record is from RNAcentral. Lineage: Bacteria; Pseudomonadati; Pseudomonadota; Gammaproteobacteria; Oceanospirillales; Halomonadaceae.